Molecule: ribosomal RNA, 465 nt
Filed under: uncultured bacterium
Lineage: Bacteria
Description: partial 16S ribosomal RNA
Rfam family: Bacterial small subunit ribosomal RNA
Source: RNAcentral
GACGAACGCUGGCGGCGUGCUUAACACAUGCAAGUCGAACGGGAAGGCCCCUUUGGGGGUCCUCGAGUGGCGAACGGGUGAGUAACACGUGAGUAACCUGCCCUUGACUUCGGGAUAACUUCAGGAAACUGGGGCUAAUACCGGAUAGGAAUCCUUGCUGCAUGGUGGGGGUUGGAAAGCUUCGGCGGUUUUGGAUGGACUCGCGGCUUAUCAGCUUGUUGGUGGGGUAGUGGCUUACCAAGGCUUUGACGGGUAGCCGGCCUGAGAGGGCGACCGGCCACAUUGGGACUGAGAUACGGCCCAGACUCCUACGGGAGGCAGCAGUGGGGAAUAUUGCACAAUGGGCGGAAGCCUGAUGCAGCAACGCCGCGUGCGGGAUGACGGCCUUCGGGUUGUAAACCGCUUUCAGCAGGGGCGAAGCUUGUGGUGACGGUACCUGCAGAAGAAGCACCGGCUAACUACGUG